RNAcentral lists this ribosomal RNA (468 nucleotides) under uncultured bacterium. Its description in RNAcentral is "partial 16S ribosomal RNA". It matches the Rfam family "Bacterial small subunit ribosomal RNA", at positions 28 to 507 of the family's 1533-position model. The record is from RNAcentral.
GACGAACGCUGGCGGCGUGCUUAACACAUGCAAGUCGAACGGAAAGGCCCUGCUUUUGUGGGGUGCUCGAGUGGCGAACGGGUGAGUAACACGUGAGUAACCUGCCCUUGACUUUGGGAUAACUUCAGGAAACUGGGGCUAAUACCGGAUAGGAGCUCCUGCUGCAUGGUGGGGGUUGGAAAGUUUCGGCGGUUGGGGAUGGACUCGCGGCUUAUCAGCUUGUUGGUGGGGUAGUGGCUUACCAAGGCUUUGACGGGUAGCCGGCCUGAGAGGGUGACCGGCCACCUUGGGACUGAGAUACGGCCCCGACUCCUACGGGGGGCAGCAGGGGGGAAUAUUGCACAAUGGGCGGAAGCCUGAUGCAGCAACGCCGCGUGCGGGAUGACGGCCUUCGGGUUGGAAACCGCUUUCGCCUGUGACGAAGCGUGAGUGACGGUAAUGGGUAAAGAAGCACCGGCUAACUACGUG